Molecule: long non-coding RNA, 2562 nt
Filed under: Zonotrichia albicollis (white-throated sparrow)
Lineage: Eukaryota; Metazoa; Chordata; Aves; Passeriformes; Passerellidae
Description: lncRNA (ENSZALG00000011915.1)
Source: RNAcentral
GCAGAGGGCGGCGUCAGAGGGGCACGGCUGCUUCCCGUGGGGAUGUCCCCUCCGAGCUGGAGUGUCCCCUCCGGGCAGAGGGCUGCGGCAGAACAAGGAUUAACCCGGGAAAACGCAAUCCCAAAGAUCCUGGUGGCCUCGGGAGGGACACUCCUCGGGAGAUCCCAGCAGGUGCGUCCCCACUCUGUCACACACCUGUGGCCUCGGCUCCUCCUGAGGUCCCACGCUGUGUCCAGGGGCAGAGCCACAAAGCCAGCCGGCCCCGAGAGUGGCACUGGGGACCCCGGUGUGCCCACUUUGGUGGCACUUUGGUGUGGCCGCGAGUUGUCUUUGUUUUCCUGGCGAGGCGGCUCCUCCUGACCCGUAUAUCCUUCCCAGCACUCGGAAUGCAGCCCAGCAGAGAGCAGCCCAGCAGAGAGCAGCCCAGCAGAGGAGCCCCGAUGCCACGGGGCGCUGCCAGCCGUCCCCUCAGGUGGCACCGCUGCCCUGAGCCCCGGUGCCACCCCCUGCAGCAGCCGGGGAGGGGCGCAGGCAGGACAAACCCCGCCAUCCCUCGCUCAGAUGCUCGUCUGCAGGUCGCCGUUGAGCAGGGUCCUCUGCGUCUCCGUGGUCUCGUUGAGGCGGGACUUGUCCUGCUUGCUGUCGCUGCGGUCGGCCUCGUCCAUGCCGCUGACCUUGACCAGGCACAGCACGUUCUGAAAGCUCUUCUUGAAGUUGUCGGAGAGGAAGGCGUAGAGGAUGGGGUUGGCACAGCUGUUGGCGUAGCUCAGCACCACCACGAAGUCGAACAUGCCCUUGAGGACGGGCGUGGGCACGAUCAUGACGGACACGGAGGAGACGUUGAAGAUGUAGAAGGGGAGCCAGCAGAAGAUGAAGACGGCCACCACGAUGGACACCAUCCUGGUGACUUUCUUCUCGGACUUUUUCCUCUUGGACGAGCCCACCCUGAUGCCCGAGGACUUGACUUUGAUGAUGAUGAACAGGUAGCAAAGGCAGAUGAUGGUGAGAGGCACCAGGAAGCCCAGGAUGAAGGCGUAGAUGAUGAACCCCGUGUACCAGGCGCCCGACUCUCCCGGCCAGAUGAUGGUGCAGCUACUCCUGCCGUGGUUGUGCUGCACGCCGGCGUAAAUCAUGAUGGGCAUGAUCACCAGCAGGGAGACGCCCCAGACGGCCACGUUGAUCAUUUUGGCUGUCCUGGGCCGCCUCCACUUGGCGGAUUUGAUGGGAUGCACCACGGCCAGGUAGCGGUCGACGCUCAUCACCGUCAGGCAGAAGAUGCUGGUGAACUGGUUGAUGCCGUCCACGGUCAUGACGAUCCUGCAGAGGGCUUUGCCGAAGGGCCAGUGCACCAGGGCCACCUGCAUGGCCAGGAAGGGCAGGCCCAGCAUGAAGAGCUCGUCGGCGAUGGCCAGGUUGAGGAUGUAGAUGUUGGUGAUGGUUUUCAUCUUGGCGUAGCGCAGGAUGACGUAGAUGACCAGCGUGUUGCCGCACAGCCCCACGAUGCACACCACGAAGUAGAUGAAGGCCAGGAUGAUCCCGGGGCUGGGCCCAGGGCUGCAGGCACUGCUGGGCACUCUGCUCACCUGGGCCCUGACAGCAGCAGGGUCAGCGCUGGUGUUCGUGUUCUCCAGAGGCCAGAGGCGGAUCCUGGAUGGGAGCCUGGGCUUUGCUGCAGGGGUGAGUGCAGCCUCCUCCUCCUCCUCCUCCUCCUCCUCCUCCCCGUGCUCUCUGCANCUGUGACACUGGGACAGACAGGGCUGUGACAUUGGGACAGGCAGGAAUGUGACACUGACACAGGGCUGUGACACUGGAGGGGACAGGCAGAGCUGUGACAUUGAAGGGACAGGGCUGUGACACUGACACAGGCAGGGCUGUGACACUGAAUUGUCCCCGCACACAGAAGUGACACUUCUGGGAUCCGGGGGUGGCAGUUGAUUUUGCUGAUGCUCCUGCACAGAGCCACCACAGCUGUCCCCAUUGCCACCCACACGUCCCCAGGCAGGGCCAUCACUGCCAGCCACCCCCAGCCUGGUGUGGCAUGUCACCGUAUCCCCAGCCAGGUCCCAGCUGUCCCCAGCCCUGCCAGCACGCUGUCACAGCAUCACCCCAGAUCCCCAAAGUGUCCCCGUGUCCCUCCCAGCUGGCACCUGGCCCUGCAGCUAAUGGGGGAUGCAGCAAUUAUGAGGCCGGAUUGAUUAAAUCCUAAUUAAAUCCUAAAUCAAGGAGCUUUCAAACGGCCCUGACCUUUCCCAGCUGGGGCUGGGCAGGGGCUGUGGCACAGGAUGUGUCCUUCUGUCCUUCUGCCACCCCUGCUCCGUGUGGCAUGGCACAGGAGGGGACACCGGGUGCUGUGACUGGGGACAAUCAGUGACAAUGCCACCCCUGUCCCCUGGGAUUGUGAUUUGGGGGGCAUCAGGAGGAAUUCCUGCAUGGACAGGGCUGGGAAGCAUCGGGAGGAGCUGCCCAGGGAGGGCUCAGUGCCCAUCCCCGGGGGUGGCACCUUGGGGACAGAGUGGCACCCGGUGACCCCAGAAAUGUCAAUAAAUCCGGGAUUCUGUGGCA